Molecule: transfer RNA, 71 nt
Filed under: Ovis aries (sheep)
Lineage: Eukaryota; Metazoa; Chordata; Mammalia; Artiodactyla; Bovidae
Rfam family: tRNA
About the family: Transfer RNA (tRNA) molecules are approximately 80 nucleotides in length.
Source: Rfam by way of RNAcentral
UCCUGGUGGCUCAGAGUGUAAAGCAUCUGCCCGCCAUGCAGGAGACCCAGGUUUGAUCCCUGGGCCAGGAA